This 836-nucleotide long non-coding RNA is filed under the name Amborella trichopoda. RNAcentral's name for it is "long non-coding RNA (ATRI_LNC000294)". Lineage: Eukaryota; Viridiplantae; Streptophyta; Magnoliopsida; Amborellales; Amborellaceae. The record is from RNAcentral.
UUAGAUACUGUAAAUUAUUAGAAAUAAACGUGAUAUUUUUGCUUUUAGUAAAAUUGUGAAAUUUCCUUCUACUGUUUUGAAUAUUUAUACAUUGUAAAAUUCAUGUGCAAAUAACUUCCUCAUUAUUUGAAAAACUGAUAUUUCUGCACUUGAUUGUAGUAUUGCCUAUGAAAUGAUUAUUUACGAAUUGGCAAUUCCAUAAAUUGUGAUAAUUCGGUAUUUAAUUUUGAAUUUUCAUAAAACUUCUUCUAUUGAUCCUAGACUGUUAUCAUGUUAGAUUUCAAGAAUGUCCUUCAGAGCUGCUACCUUUCAGAAAUUAUUGCCAAAAUAUUUGACUGGUUACUUAUAGAUAUUUCAAUGAAAGUGAUUGUUUAAAUUGCUUCAAGGGAAUUCCUGUUAAGGAUUUCAAUGAUCCUUUGCAUAUAUGAUAUUGUUGUUUUCUGAUGUUAAAAGAGUUUCAGAGAUAAUUUUAGUAUAAGUGGACUCAUCCGAUACGCCGGUAAGAUAUGAUCGGAUCUGCAGGAAUUGUUAGGACCUUUCAGGUUAUAUCGGUAGGGACUAUUUGGACUCAUCCGGGAUACCGGUGAGGUAUGAUCAAACCUGCAGGGAUUGUUAGGACCUAUCCAGUUAUACCGGUAUGGACUAUUUGGACACAUCCAGGACACCGGUGAGGUAUGUUUGGACCUGCAGGGAUGGUUAGGACCUAUCUGGUUAUGCCGGUAGAGACUAUUUGGAUUCAUCCGGUACGCCGGUGAGGUAUGUUUGGAUCCGCAGGGAUUGUUUGGACCCAUCCAGGACACUAGUGGGGUAUAUAGGUGACCUACUUGGGAUGCCAG